CACCAUUUCUGAUCCUAAGCACCUCCAAAAUACGCCUAAGACAUCUCCCUCUCAUCUAAAUAAAGUUCUACAAGAAAUCAAAGUGGUUUUCCCUUGGAGAUCAUAAAAGUGUAAGAAAAAGCUUGUUCUUUCAUUGUUGUGGUGGAUUAAAGUUACUUCAAGCUGAAAUAAGGUGUAAGGCGGGAUGAGUUUUGUGCAUCUAAGUGUAGUUUUGACCUUGCGGAAAGUAGAGGAAAAGAGGGGAGGUGCUAUUCGAUUUUGUAUAAGCAAGUUGCCGCUUGUCAGUGAUGGUUAUGCUUCUUAUGUUAAUAAAAGAUUGUGUUUCCAUCUUGUAGACCAGUGUAUUGGUGAGUCGCUUGUGGAGUUGUGAAGGACGUCUAUGGUUGAACGCAUAGUAUGUGAUAGGGUCGACUUCCUGUCCUCGUGGCUGAUUCCUGAGGCUUUGCUAACGAGCAUCUAGGGUGAGCACAUGGAUCGAUUCGCAGCUCAGAUGCCUCUUCUUAUUUACUUGUCUUAUUUUGAUAUUCCGAGAUAGUAUUCCACUUUUCAGACUAUAUUCAGACUCGUAGUAUUUGUAGUAGUGGCUCUUGUACGACCCUAGACCAGAUUACUUAGGAUUAUUUGUAUUAUUUCGUCACUUAUUUACUUAUCUAUUCUAGACUUAAUAUAUGAAUUCCAUGGUUGGGUUUACUUUAUUUUUAAUUUGAAUUGUGAUAAGUGAUGGGUUCGCCUACCAGGUGGGAAAAGGCUAGGUGCCCGCACGUUCCCCAAUUUGGGACGUGACAUUCUUAGCUUGUUGUGGUGAGAUUGAAGUUACUUCAAGUUGAAGUAAGGUGUAAGGGGGGAUGAUUUUUGUGCUUCUAAGGUUCUGAUAGACAGAUAGAGAGACCUUCCCAGUAGAUAAUGUAGAGUAUUUGCUUGAUUGGUAAGCUCCACUUCAUCAGGAGUUACCAGGUCCAGAGUUAGUAUUGCUUUGUGUAUAUGGAGAUGAUGGGUAGGCUGGAACCCUGUCCCAACCACAAUAUAGUUUGAUCUUCUUGGAGGAUUGUAGACGUUUCCUGUAUAUUCAGUAUAUCAGCAUGGUGACCUUGUCAGCUCUUUUUUAUAUCUUGUUUUGGGUUUUGUUGUUUGUAUAUGUGAAGUGGCCUUGUCAGCCCAUGCAGAUAUGUUAUGUAUAUACAUUGGGAUGAUCCCAUUCAAAGAGAUGUCUGUCAUUUACAGAGUUCAAGAUUUCGGCCUUAUCGGCCUGAGAUGUCAUGUUUUACUUAUAGUUGGCCUUUUUGGCCCAAAUUGUUAUAUGUAUGUCUAGAGUUCAUGAGUUA
Molecule: long non-coding RNA, 1322 nt
Organism: Lycium barbarum (goji berry)
Lineage: Eukaryota; Viridiplantae; Streptophyta; Magnoliopsida; Solanales; Solanaceae
Exons: 4
Source: RefSeq, a predicted model, not a curated record